CACAGUGACCUAGAAUAGUUUGGAGCUAUGAUGCCCAAGAGGGUAGCCACUGGGGUUAUUUGCAGGUAAAUUAGUGCCAGUCACUUUCUAAGUGGUCAGCAGGUUCAGGGGCUAGUGGCUGCAAUGGUAGCACAGUCGUGGAUUCCUCUAUCACUACAACAACUUGAACCUCUGCUGAGCGCCUGUUUUGAUCACCUGCUUAGACAUGCCAUUAUUUUAUGGCUACUUGCUCAGAAUAAGCACCUGCGUCUGUGUAGUCUGCAAUGACUCCCUCCCUGGCCGGGGUAGAAGCUGCCUCCAGGAGCGAAUCAGCAGUACCUGCGAGCCCUCACCUGCCAGUCAGCUUGUGUGGCUCCUUCCAUGAUUAGCAAGGUCCCGUGAUCCAAUGGUAUCUUCACUCUCUCCACAUAUGUGUAGUCUCCAUUUUCUUCCUAGAAAACAGUAGCCAUCCUACUGAAGUUUUUAUAUGGUCAUGAAGCAAGGAAUCAGUAAGCACAGAAACAUUGACCUCUGACUGCUCAGCCAACCAGAACCCACUGGGAAGUGACCCUGCCGGUGGAGGCCCACACCCACCUCCACACUCACCUCCACUUCAGAAGGCAGAGGUGGUGCUUGAAAAAAGUAUGCCAGAAGAGACGAAUGCCUUGCUAAGGAAAAACAUCAAAGAAAGGCCCAUCCUCCAUGACAUCAGAGGGUUAUAAAGGCUUAACAGAUUGAAAGGCUGGUCAGCUCGAGUUAAAACUUGGCUGUAGGCAGAAGGAUCUCUCCUGCUUUCAGGGAAGACAAAAUGGCGUGGACCUGUAAACUGUACAGACUGGAGGACGAGGCUGAAAUGAUGCUCAGAGGGAAGACUUCUUGAGUACACAAGGGCACUUCUGAGAUCAAGAACACCCAUAACUCCAUGGUGAGGUAGAGGUGGGACUGCAGAGCACUGUGAUUCCAUCUGGAACCAUGAAGAAGAAUGCAGCUGAGAGGCAAAAGGGAGUUCCGCAUACAAGAGACAACUAUCAGCACCAGUGGAAAUGAAGCAUAAAAAUCUCUAUUUUUCAAGGGAGAGAAAAAUUUGGGUGUGUUUUGCACACAUAAUAUCCAGCACAGCCACUAAUCACACCAAAAGGUAGACCCUCAAGGGUGAGCAAUUCAGGUUGUCCCUGAGGAGUGAACAGAGUAGAUGGAUAGAGAAUUGCUCACCCCAGCACAUGAUGUGAGAGGUAAUAUCAUUUUCUCCUGGCUUGUUAUUUAUUUCUCCUAACACCGGUGACUUAGAAAACACAUUCCUAAUUGCAGGAGACGGACAGUUAAAGAAGGCAAGGGAGCCUCCCAACAUGGUAGAGCUCACUGAUGGACCUAUCUGCCUUAAGACAGAGAAGCAACUGGAGGCAGUGACACUCUAACUUUCCACCUAGGAGGCAGAUAAAAGGCCAGGGAAACUCCUGCUGUGCAAAGGUGGUGGUGAUGUGGGGAGCAGGGGCCAUACUGUUAGAGAAGGCUCAGUCAUGGCUGCCAAUGGCCAUAUUUCCAAAGUUCACAUCUGUGACUCUGCUGUACUCAGGCAAGCAAAACACACAUGCAUGCAUGCACACCCACACCCACACACGAACUCCAAUAUUCAUAUGUGAACAAUACAGUGCUUAAGAUAAAAAUGUCUAUCCCUGAUAGACAAAAGAAGCUUCUAAGGUAACAAUCAACCUAUGGGGAGUGAGUUGUGACUGUAGACGUUGAAACCUUAUAAACAGAAAACCA
Mastomys coucha (southern multimammate mouse) is the source of this 1743-nucleotide long non-coding RNA. RefSeq lists it as uncharacterized. NCBI's taxonomy places the organism in Eukaryota, Metazoa, Chordata, Mammalia, Rodentia, Muridae. The transcript has 2 exons. The record is from RefSeq and is a predicted model, not a curated record.